AGACCCGAAACCCGGUGAUCUAGCCAUGGGCAGGUUGAAGGUUGGGUAACACUAACUGGAGGACCGAACCGACUAAUGUUGAAAAAUUAGCGGAUGACUUGUGGCUGGGGGUGAAAGGCCAAUCAAACCGGGAGAUAGCUGGUUCUCCCCGAAAGCUAUUUAGGUAGCGCCUCGUGAAUUCAUCUCCGGGGGUAGAGCACUGUUUCGGCAAGGGGGUCAUCCCGACUUACCAACCCGAUGCAAACUGCGAAUACCGGAGAAUGUUAUCACGGGAGACACACGGCGGGUGCUAACGUCCGUCGUGAAGAGGGAAACAACCCAGACCGCCAGCUAAGGUCCCAAAGUCAUGGUUAAGUGGGAAACGAUGUGGGAAGGCCCAGACAGCCAGGAUGUUGGCUUAGAAGCAGCCAUCAUUUAAAGAAAGCGUAAUAGCUCACUGGUCGAGUCGGCCUGCGCGGAAGAUGUAACGGGGCUAAACCAUGCACCGAAGCUGCGGCAGCGACACUGUGUGUUGUUGGGUAGGGGAGCGUUCUGUAAGCCUGUGAAGGUGUGCUGUGAGGCAUGCUGGAGGUAUCAGAAGUGCGAAUGCUGACAUAAGUAACGAUAAAGCGGGUGAAAAGCCCGCUCGCCGGAAGACCAAGGGUUCCUGUCCAACGUUAAUCGGGGCAGGGUGAGUCGACCCCUAAGGCGAGGCCGAAAGGCGUAGUCGAUGGGAAACAGGUUAAUAUUCCUGUACUUGGUGUUACUGCGAAGGGGGGACGGAGAAGGCUAUGUUGGCCGGGCGACGGUUGUCCCGGUUUAAGCGUGUAGGCUGGUUUUCCAGGCAAAUCCGGAAAAUCAAGGCUGAGGCGUGAUGACGAGGCACUACGGUGCUGAAGCAACAAAUGCCCUGCUUCCAGGAAAAGCCUCUAAGCAUCAGGUAACAUCAAAUCGUACCCCAAACCGACACAGGUGGUCAGGUAGAGAAUACCAAGGCGCUUGAGAGAACUCGGGUGAAGGAACUAGGCAAAAUGGUGCCGUAACUUCGGGAGAAGGCACGCUGAUAUGUAGGUGAAGUCCCUCGCGGAUGGAGCUGAAAUCAGUCGAAGAUACCAGCUGGCUGCAACUGUUUAUUAAAAACACAGCACUGUGCAAACACGAAAGUGGACGUAUACGGUGUGACGCCUGCCCGGUGCCGGAAGGUUAAUUGAUGGGGUCAGCGCAAG
RNAcentral lists this ribosomal RNA (1205 nucleotides) under Escherichia coli. RNAcentral describes it as "partial 23S ribosomal RNA". It matches the Rfam family "Bacterial large subunit ribosomal RNA", at positions 711 to 1899 of the family's 2925-position model. Lineage: Bacteria; Pseudomonadati; Pseudomonadota; Gammaproteobacteria; Enterobacterales; Enterobacteriaceae. The record is from RNAcentral.